This is a non-coding RNA of Sphaeramia orbicularis (orbiculate cardinalfish), 72 nucleotides long. The record is from the annotation of a RefSeq genome assembly. Lineage: Eukaryota; Metazoa; Chordata; Actinopteri; Kurtiformes; Apogonidae.
GGUUCCAUGGUGUAAUGGUUAGCACUCUGGACUCUGAAUCCUGUGGUUUGAGUUCAAAUCACAGUGGAAACU